ACGCUCGACACCUACGGAGGCAGCAGUGGGGGAUAUUGCACAAUGGGGGAAACCCUGAUGCAGCAACGCCGCGUGAGGGAAGAAGGUUUUCGGAUUGUAAACCUCUGUCCUUGGUGACGAUAAUGACGGUAGCCAAGGAGGAAGCUCCGGCUAACUACGUGCCAGCAGCCGCGGUAAUCUGAGCGGGCUGGCAAGGC
This 197-nucleotide ribosomal RNA is filed under the name uncultured bacterium. RNAcentral's name for it is "partial 16S ribosomal RNA". It matches the Rfam family "Bacterial small subunit ribosomal RNA", at positions 328 to 539 of the family's 1533-position model. The record is from RNAcentral.